ACUGAGACACGGCCCAGACUCCUACGGGAGGCAGCAGUGGGGAAUUUUGGACAAUGGGCGCAAGCCUGAUCCAGCCAUGCCGCGUGAGUGAAGAAGGCCUUCGGGUUGUAAAGCUCUUUUAGUCGGAAAGAAAGAGUUGCAAUGAAUAAUUGUGAUUUAUGACGGUACCGACAGAAAAAGCACCGGCUAACUACGUGCCAGCAGCCGCGGUAAUACGUAGGGUGCGAGCGUUAAUCGGAAUUACUGGGCGUAAAGGGUGCGCAGGCGGUCUUGCAAGUCAGAUGUGAAAGCCCCGGGCUUAACCUGGGAAUUGCGUUUGAAACUACAAGGCUAGAGUGCAGCAGAGGGGAGUGGAAUUCCAUGUGUAGCAGUGAAAUGCGUAGAGAUGUGGAAGAACACCGAUGGCGAAGGCAGCUCCCUGGGUUGACACUGACGCUCAUGCACGAAAGCGUGGGGAGCAAACAGGAUUAGAUACCCUGGUAGUCCACGCCCUAAACGAUGUCAACUAGUUGUCGGAUCUAAUUAGGAUUUGGUAACGUAGCUAACGCGUGAAGUUGACCGCCUGGGGAGUACGGUCGCAAGAUUAAAACUCAAAGGAAUUGACGGGGACCCGCACAAGCGGUGGAUUAUGUGGAUUAAUUCGAUGCAACGCGAAAAACCUUACCUACCCUUGACAUGCUUGGAAAUCUAAUGGAGA
This 697-nucleotide ribosomal RNA is filed under the name uncultured Nitrosomonas sp. RNAcentral describes it as "bacterial SSU rRNA". It matches the Rfam family "Bacterial small subunit ribosomal RNA", at positions 318 to 1006 of the family's 1533-position model. The record is from RNAcentral. Lineage: Bacteria; Pseudomonadati; Pseudomonadota; Betaproteobacteria; Nitrosomonadales; Nitrosomonadaceae.